CCUACGGGAGGCAGCAGUGAGGAAUAUUGGACAAUGGGCGCAAGCCUGAUCCAGCAAUGCCGCGUGUGUGAAGAAGGCCUUAGGGUUGUAAAGCACUUUCAAUUGUGAAGAAGGGGUUAGUACUAAUAUUGCUGACCUUUGACGUUAACUUUAGAAGAAGCACCGGCUAACUCCGUGCCAGCAGCCGCGGUAAUA
This 195-nucleotide ribosomal RNA is filed under the name uncultured marine bacterium SNT2. RNAcentral's name for it is "partial 16S rRNA". It matches the Rfam family "Bacterial small subunit ribosomal RNA", at positions 338 to 525 of the family's 1533-position model. The record is from RNAcentral.